Molecule: transfer RNA, 63 nt
Filed under: Hydroptila sp. XG-2021
Lineage: Eukaryota; Metazoa; Arthropoda; Insecta; Trichoptera; Hydroptilidae
Description: tRNA-Pro
Source: RNAcentral
CAAAAAAUAGUUUAUAUAAAAUAUUAAUUUUGGAAAUUAAAGAUGAAUAAUAUUCUUUUUUGA